This 493-nucleotide ribosomal RNA is filed under the name uncultured beta proteobacterium. RNAcentral's name for it is "bacterial SSU rRNA". It matches the Rfam family "Bacterial small subunit ribosomal RNA", at positions 38 to 526 of the family's 1533-position model. Lineage: Bacteria; Pseudomonadati; Pseudomonadota; Betaproteobacteria. The record is from RNAcentral.
GGCGGAAUGCUUUACACAUGCAAGUCGAGCGGCAGCGCGGGGCAACCUGGCGGCGAGCGGCGAACGGGUGCGUAACACAUCGGAACAUGUCCAUUCGUGGGGGAUAGCCCGGCGAAAGCCGGAUUAAUACCGCAUGAGCCCGAGAGGGGAAAGUGGGGGACUCGAAAGAGCCUCACGCGGAUGGGUUGGCCGAUGUCCGAUUAGCUCGUUGGCGGGGUAAGAGCCCACCAAGGCGAUGAUCGGUAGCUGGUCUGAGAGGAUGAUCAGCCACACUGGGACUGAGACACGGCCCAGACUCCUACGGGAGGCAGCAGUGGGGAAUUUUGGACAAUGGGGGCAACCCUGAUCCAGCCAUUCCGCGUGAGUGAAGAANGCCUUCGGGUUGUAAAGCUCUUUUGUCCGGAGCGAAAANGUUACGGUGAAUAUCCGUGACUACUGACGGUACCGGAAGAAUAAGCACCGGCUAACUACGUGCCAGCAGCCGCGGUAAUAC